RNAcentral lists this ribosomal RNA (374 nucleotides) under uncultured organism. RNAcentral describes it as "partial 16S ribosomal RNA". It matches the Rfam family "Bacterial small subunit ribosomal RNA", at positions 527 to 896 of the family's 1533-position model. The record is from RNAcentral.
GGAGGGGGCGAGCGUUGUUCGGAAUCAUUGGGCGUAAAGGGCGCGUAGGCGGCAUCACAAGUCAGAUGUGAAAGCCCCUGGCUCAACCAGGGAACUGCAUCUGAAACUGUGGAGCUUGAAUCCGGGAUGGGAGAGUGGAAUUCCCAGUGUAGCGGUGAAAUGCGUAGAUAUUGGGAGGAACACCGGUGGCGAAGGCGGCUCUCUGGACCGGUAUUGACGCUGAGGCGCGAAAGCUAGGGGGGAGCAAACGGGAUUAGAUACCCCGGUAGUCCUAGCUGUAAACGAUGGGCACUUGGUGUGGCGGGUAUCGACCCCUGCCGUGCCGAAGCUAACGCAUUAAGUGCCCCCCGCCUGGGAGUACGGUCGCAAGGCUG